CCCGGAAGCGUGAGGCCACACCACUGGACAAAUACCAGCCACCGCCGCCGCCGCCGCCACCACCACCACGGGAGGCAGGAGGUCUGGAGCCUCAGACCUUUCCCCAUGGGCCUGGGCCUUUCCUUGCUGAACUUGAGAAGUCAACACAGACCAUCUUGGGCCAGCAGCGGCCUUCUCUUUCUCAAACAACCCCCUUCGGGGAGCUCACUGGGUCUCUGAAGUCAGGCUCACCGUACUGCCACACCACAGCGAGGGGCCCUGACCCAGCAUACAUCUAUGAUGAGUUUCUUCAGCAGCGACGGAGGCUGGUCAGCAAGCUGGACCUGGAAGAGCGCAGGCGGCGCGAGGCUCAGGAGAAAGGGUACUACUAUGACCUCGAUGACUCUUACGA
This 391-nucleotide long non-coding RNA is filed under the name Rattus norvegicus (Norway rat). RNAcentral's name for it is "long non-coding RNA NONRATT014350". Lineage: Eukaryota; Metazoa; Chordata; Mammalia; Rodentia; Muridae. The record is from RNAcentral.